Molecule: small nuclear RNA, 102 nt
Filed under: Meriones unguiculatus (Mongolian gerbil)
Lineage: Eukaryota; Metazoa; Chordata; Mammalia; Rodentia; Muridae
Source: RNAcentral
GUGCUUGCUUCGGCAGCACAUAUACUAAAAUUGGAACGAUAUAGAUAAGAUUAGCAUGGGCCCUUGCAUAAGGAAAACAACUCAGAGCUUUUAACUAAUUUC